CCUACGGGAGGCAGCAGUGAGGAAUAUUGGUCAAUGGGCUGAAGCCUGAACCAGCCAAGUCGCGUGAGGGAAUAAUGCCCUACGGGUCGUAAACCUCUUUUGUCAGGGAGCAACGCCGGCUACGUGUAGCCGGACUGAGAGUACCCGAAGAAAAAGCAUCGGCUAACUCCGUGCCAGCAGCCGCGGUAAUACGGAGGAUGCGAGCGUUAUCCGGAUUUAUUGGGUUUAAAGGGUGCGUAGGCGGGCUGUUAAGUCAGCGGUAAAAAUGCGGGGCUCAACCUCGUUCGGCCGUUGAAACUGGGGGCCUUGAGUGGGCGAGAAGAAUGCGGAAUGCGUGGUGUAGCGGUGAAAUGCAUAGAUAUCACGCAGAACCCCGAUUGCGAAGGCAGCCUUCCGGCGCCCUACUGACGCUGAGGCACGAAAGCGUGGGGAUCGAACAGGAUUAGAUACCCGGGUAGUC
Molecule: ribosomal RNA, 460 nt
Filed under: uncultured bacterium
Lineage: Bacteria
Description: partial 16S ribosomal RNA
Rfam family: Bacterial small subunit ribosomal RNA
Source: RNAcentral